This 675-nucleotide ribosomal RNA is filed under the name Streptomyces sp. MJN7. Its description in RNAcentral is "bacterial SSU rRNA". It matches the Rfam family "Bacterial small subunit ribosomal RNA", at positions 94 to 784 of the family's 1533-position model. The record is from RNAcentral. Lineage: Bacteria; Bacillati; Actinomycetota; Actinomycetes; Kitasatosporales; Streptomycetaceae.
AGUGGCGAACGGGUGAGUAAAAAGGGCAAUCUGCCCUGCACUCUGGGACAAGCCCUGGAAACGGGGUCUAAUACCGGAUACUGACCCGCCUGGGCAUCCAGGCGGUUCGAAAGCUCCGGCGGUGCAGGAUGAGCCCGCGGCCUAUCAGCUUGUUGGUGAGGUAACGGCUCACCAAGGCGACGACGGGUAGCCGGCCUGAGAGGGCGACCGGCCACACUGGGACUGAGACACGGCCCAGACUCCUACGGGAGGCAGCAGUGGGGAAUAUUGCACAAUGGGCGAAAGCCUGAUGCAGCGACGCCGCGUGAGGGAUGACGGCCUUCGGGUUGUAAACCUCUUUCAGCAGGGAAGAAGCGAAAGUGACGGUACCUGCAGAAGAAGCGCCGGCUAACUACGUGCCAGCAGCCGCGGUAAUACGUAGGGCGCGAGCGUUGUCCGGAAUUAUUGGGCGUAAAGAGCUCGUAGGCGGCUUGUCACGUCGGUUGUGAAAGCCCGGGGCUUAACCCCGGGUCUGCAGUCGAUACGGGCAGGCUAGAGUUCGGUAGGGGAGAUCGGAAUUCCUGGUGUAGCGGUGAAAUGCGCAGAUAUCAGGAGGAACACCGGUGGCGAAGGCGGAUCUCUGGGCCGAUACUGACGCUGAGGAGCGAAAGCGUGCGGAGCGAACAGGAUUAGAUA